Molecule: ribosomal RNA, 473 nt
Filed under: Bacteroidetes bacterium oral taxon 272
Lineage: Bacteria; Pseudomonadati; Bacteroidota
Description: bacterial SSU rRNA
Rfam family: Bacterial small subunit ribosomal RNA
Source: RNAcentral
GAUGAACGCUAGCUACAGGCUUAACACAUGCAAGUCGUGGGGCAUCAUGAUGUAGUAAUACAUUGAUGGCGACCGGCGCACGGGUGAGUAACGCGUAUCCAACCUACCCUCCACUCAAGUAUAGGCUUCCGAAAGGGAGAUUAAUCCUUGAUAUCGUCAUUCUCUCUCCUGUUAGAAUGAUAAAAGGACAUCGUUUCGGUAGAGGAUGGGGAUGCGUUCCAUUAGGUAGUAGGUGGUUUAACAGGCCACCUAGCCGAUGAUGGAUAGGGGUUCUGAGAGGAAUAUCCCCCACACUGGUACUGAGAUACGGACCAGACUCCUACGGGAGGCAGCAGUGAGGAAUAUUGGUCAAUGGGCGCAAGCCUGAACCAGCCAUGUAGCGUGAAGGAUGACGGUUUUUUUGAUUGUAAACUUCUUUUCUGUGCGAUUAAAGUGUGGCAUUUAUGCCAUAUUGCAGUAUCUCAGGAAUAAAG